GUCGUGUCUCAGCGGUAGAGUGCACGUCUAGCACAUGCGAGGCCCUAGGUUCAAUCCUCAGCACCACA
Molecule: transfer RNA, 68 nt
Filed under: Marmota monax (woodchuck)
Lineage: Eukaryota; Metazoa; Chordata; Mammalia; Rodentia; Sciuridae
Description: tRNA.Ala
Source: RNAcentral